Molecule: ribosomal RNA, 363 nt
Filed under: uncultured bacterium
Lineage: Bacteria
Description: bacterial SSU rRNA
Rfam family: Bacterial small subunit ribosomal RNA
Source: RNAcentral
AGCGAACGCUAGCGGCGGGCCUAACACAUGCAAGUCGAGCGGGGGAGCAAUCCCCAGCGGCGGACGGGUGAGUAACACGUAGGUUAUGUGCCCUUUGGUGGGGAAUAACCGUGGGAAACCAUGGCUAAAUUCCGCAUAUCGAGCGAAAUCUUGAAAAGCCUUCGGGGCGCCAAAAGGAGCAACCUGCGGCCCAUUAGCUUGUUGGUAGGGUAACGGCCUACCAAGGCGAUGAUGGGUAGCUGGUCUGAGAGGAUGAUCAGCCACACUGGAACUGAGACACGGUCCAGACUCCUACGGGAGGCAGCAGUGGGGAAUAUUGCGCAAUGGGCGAAAGCCUGACGCAGCCACGCCGCGUGAGUGAUG